AGCAGCCGCGGUAAUUCCAGCUCCAAUAGCGUAUAUUAAAGUUGUUGCAGUUAAAAAGCUCGUAGUUGAAUUUCGGGAUUAAUAUGUUGGUCGUGCCUCGGUACGUACUGGCAUUAUUGGUUUCUACCUUCUGAAGAACCUCGAUGUCAUUAAUUUGGUGUCUUGGGGAAUCAGGACUGUUACUUUGAAAAAAUUAGAGUGUUUAAAGCAGGCUCACGCUUGAAUACAUUAGCAUGGAAUAAUGAAAUAGGACGUUUGAUUCUAUUUUGUUGGUUUCUAGGAUUGACGUAAUGAUUAAUAGGGAUAGUUGGGGGCAUUAGUAUUCAAUUGUCAGAGGUGAAAUUCUUGGAUUUAUUGAAGACUGACUACUGCGAAAGCAUUUGCCAAGGAUGUUUUCAUUAAUCAAGAACGAAAGUUAGGGGAUCGAAGACGAUCAGAUACCGUCGUAGUCUUAACCAUAAACUAUGCCGACUAGGGAUCGGAUGAUGUUAAUUUUUUAAUGACUCAUUCGGCGCCUUACG
This 521-nucleotide ribosomal RNA is filed under the name uncultured Glomeraceae. Its description in RNAcentral is "SSU rRNA". It matches the Rfam family "Eukaryotic small subunit ribosomal RNA", at positions 569 to 1092 of the family's 1831-position model. Lineage: Eukaryota; Fungi; Glomeromycota; Glomeromycetes; Glomerales; Glomeraceae. The record is from RNAcentral.